Molecule: ribosomal RNA, 460 nt
Filed under: uncultured bacterium
Lineage: Bacteria
Description: partial 16S ribosomal RNA
Rfam family: Bacterial small subunit ribosomal RNA
Source: RNAcentral
CCUACGGGUGGCAGCAGUGAGGAAUAUUGGUCAAUGGACGAGAGUCUGAACCAGCCAAGCAGCGUGAAGGAUGAAUGCCCCAUGGGUUGUAAACUUCUUUUAUAUGGGAAUAAAAUGAUCCACGAGAGGGUUUCUGUAUGUACUAUAAGAAUAAGGAUCGGCUAACUCCGUGCCAGCAGCCGCGGUAAUACGGAGGAUCCGAGCGUUAUCCGGAUUUAUUGGGUUUAAAGGGAGCGUAGGUGGAUUGUUAAGUCAGUUGUGAAAGUUUGCGGCGCAACCGGAGAAUUGCGGUUGAAACUGGCAGUCUUGAGUACAGGAGAGGUGUGCGGAAUUCGUGGUGUAGCGGUGAAAUGCUUAGAUAUCACGAAGAACUCCGAUUGCGAAGGCAGCAUACUGGACGGCAACUGACACUGAGGCUCGAAAGUGUGGGUAUCAAACAGGAUUAGAUACCCCGGUAGUC